CGAAUGGGGAGAUUCAUCGUCAGCUCAUUUUGUAUAUGUAUAAGUUAUGAUGCGGGUUACUACUUGUAGUAUUGCCUGCACAUUCUUGUAUAUUUAGUUGCAAGAUGUUGUCGGCGUGCACUUCUCCCCUAGUAGGACGUCGCGACCUGUUGGGUGUCGGUCUACGGCCCAAGUGAUAGCCUUUAAUGUAAUUUAAAAAACAUUGAAGACCCUUGGUGUUUUCUGACCGGCUACUUGGCAGUAUUCGUACGGUAUUUAGCCGCUAAAUUUAUUAAGCGUCCAUAUCCAUCACAAGCGAGGCUAAUUUACUGAUAGUACGGACCUAGUGCCGUCGUUGGUAUUGGCCAGCUGUUGGUUGA
RNAcentral lists this ribosomal RNA (359 nucleotides) under Aleiodes sp. HD-219. RNAcentral describes it as "eukaryotic LSU rRNA". RNAcentral also lists the same sequence under 1 other name. Lineage: Eukaryota; Metazoa; Arthropoda; Insecta; Hymenoptera; Braconidae. The record is from RNAcentral.